UAUAGAAAAUAUUUUUACUUUAAAAUUUUAUAAUAUUAGUUAAAAUAUAAUAGAUAUAUUUUAGUAUUCUUAUAAUUCCAAUUUAAAUAUUUUAUUAACUAUUUUUAUUUUUGUAUUUAUAUUGUUUAAAAAAAGAAAAAAAAAUUAUCCUCCCGCAACCGCCAACGCUAGCUAGAACCAAUUUUUGAAUUUAUGAGAUUUAGAGCGGUUUAUGUGAUUGUUGCAAAACACCAACAACCACUACUAAUCACAAAAGCUGCGUUUAAGAGUUGUAGCGGAGAAACCAGUCAUACCCUUAGUGACUCGCGGCCGUCUUUUCUCGUAACAUAACCGAAAGUCUUAACCUAAUGUGAUGGUUUUUUUUAUUAUUUAAGCAUAAAUUAUAUUUUUUAAGCCAUUUGAAUGAUUUUGAAGUUGCAGAUUUUUCAGAUCUGAAACAGACUUUAAAAAACUUAUAUUAGAUGACUCUGAGAAGACUCCUCGGAAGACUUCUAGGCAAGUCUUCUCAUUCAUUUUAUGGUAGAAGACUUUCCACGAAGUCUUCAGGUAGUCUCCCAAAGUCUUCUUCCUAAAGUGGUACAAAUUUUGGAUAUGUAUUUUAUAUGUUUUUUAUAUAUUAAAUCUAAAAAAUUAUAGAUUCAAUCUAAUGUGACUGUUUUGUUUAUUAUUAAGCAUAAAUUUUUUUUUUGAAGUUUUCUCUGUUUUGAAGCCAUUUGAAUGUUUUUGGAUAUGCAAAUUUUUCAUAUUUGAGUCAGACUUUGGAAAAAUUCUUAGAAGACUCUAGGAAGACUUCUUGCGAAGUCUUCUAAUGCAUUUUAUGCUAGAAGACGUCCCACGAAGUCUUCCGAAGUUUUAUGCCCAAAGUGGUAUAAAUUUUGGAUAUGUAUUUUGUGUGUUUUAUAUAUUAGAUUCUAAAAAGUUAUAGAAACAACUGAAUGUGAUUGUUUUGUUAAUUAUUUAAGUAUAAAAUGUUUUUUGAAGCUUUCUUUGUUUUAAGGCAAUUUGAACGCUUUUAAAUAUGUAGAUUUUUUUUCAGAUCUGAAUCAGACUUUGGAAUACUUUUUAGAAGACUCUUAGAAGAAUCUCGGAAGACUCUUAAAAGACUUCUUGCUAAUGAAUUUAUUGCUAGAAGACUUCCCACCAAGUCUUCAGGAAGUCUUCCAAAGUCUUCUGCCCAAAAUGGUACAAAGGAAUGAUGUCAACUGGAGUCCGCCAAGCUUAUCUUUGUAGAAGAAUGAUAUCUAGCUCCAUGUGUAAUAGUUUUGUUUUAAGUCUUGUUUUAUGAUCUGUAUGUGUACUAUUUUAGUUGUGAAUUCUUUUGUAAACUUGAAGAGAUGUUAAUCAAAACAAUUUGGUGAAUAUGUUCAUGUUUUGCCAAAAGUACUUGACAUUAAUGAAUUUAUUAACAUACCAAUUAAAACUUAGUCAAAUUUACUAAAACUAAGAGAGAAGACUUCACAUGAAAACUUAGUCAAAUUCACAAAAUAUCAAAUUUGAAUUUUAAGUAAAAGUUGAAAUUUUAAAUCUUAUGUAAGUUAAAAAGUAUAUCUUAUGAUCUAAAAGAUACAUUAAACCACAUGACAUGAUAUUCUUGAAGUUACUUAACACUCUUGAAAAUCAAACGUAGAAAACUGAAGACUUCUUAAGAAGUUUUCUCGGAUUAGUUAGAAACAUUAGUAAACAUAAAUAUUUGAAAUCUCAUAAUUAUCACCAAAUAAGUUAUGAAUUUCAUCAAAGUGCUCCAAUAUUGACUAAUACACAUGAAUAAAUAAGAAAGUAUUAAAAUAUCAUUUUAAUUGUAGAGAAAAUGAAGGUUUAUUAAACAUUAACGUAGAAGACUUCUAUAGAAGUCUUUUGUUUAUGUCAUUUUUGCAAUUGCAAAUUUACGAAGGAAGACAUCUUAGGAAGUCUAUUCUAUAGAAGACAUGUUGAAAAGCAUUCCUUUGUAAAUGGGCUUACUUUUGAAUUUCAAAAAAAAAAUUGAAAAUGCCAAAGAAGACUUCUCGAAUAAAUAUGUUAGUUUUGCAAUUGACCGAAGUUUGUCAGAAAUUUGACUUUUUAUAAAGACUUCUCAAUGUCGCAAGAAGUCUACAUGGGAUACUUUUGAAAUUGACUAUAUUUGACUUUUCUAGAGAAGUCUUCUCAUUAAUAUUAAAAUUUUUACUAUUAUUUUUCAAUUGCAAAAGUAACCCACGCAAACUUCUUACGACAGUGAGAAGACUUCGGGAAAACUUACAGAAUACUUCUAUAAAAGUUUUUCUCGAAAAGAUUUCCCGAAAAGUCUUCUAUUAAAAGUCAAAUUUCUGACAAAUUUCGGUCAAUUGCAAAACUAACAUGUUUAUCCGGGAUUUUUUUAUUUUUUUUUGUUAAUAAAGGAAAGUUAGAAGACUUCUAGAAAAGUCUUCUUGAUGGAGAACACAUCUAGCGAAGUCUUCUUGAUGGAUAACACAUCUAGCGAAGUCUUCUGAAAGUAUUUCUGAAGUUUUCUUAAAGUCUUCUGAAGAAAAAAAUGAUUGCUUAGCUUGAACAUGUGAGAUGACUUGCUUAGCUUCUCCAAGCACCCAAAACUUCACUACAAAAGCUACCAAUUCGUUAAUGACCACGAAUCAUGAGCUUCAAUAUCUCUAUGAACCUUACAAAUCUUGGAAUCAAAAUCUUGUUUUUUUUUGAUGAAUUUGAAGAGAGAGUGAGAGAGAUGUGAUUUGUGUGCAUAAGUAAUGAGAUAUAAUGAGUUAAAACCGAAACUUUGGUGCAUUAAGAGUUUCAAAUUGGUUGUUCAUAGUGAUUAAUGUAUUGAUAACAAUGUCAACAUUGUAAAUACUUGGGGAAGAUGAAGAUGAUAAAGUAAAAGACUCAUUUUCGAAAAAAAGAAAGAAAAAAAAUAAUAAUGGCAUUUUCGUGAAUAACUCAAACUUCUAGGCUGAAUAGGAAAAAUGAAAGUUUUUAAAAACAUGGGUUAUUUUUGUAUUUCACUUGAAAUUUUAAGUCAUAUUUUAAAAAAGAAUACAAAUUUAGUAAACAAUUUAAUUUUUAUUAAAUAUAUUUUUUGUCAGUUGAAAACCUAUACUCAUGCUUUAAAAGCACAAAAUAAAAUUAAAUUUAAAUAUUAAAAACACUUUUUAUCAUAUGUUUAUAACCAAUCCAGCCAAUACCAAAAGUGGAUACAGAGCUUUUCGGUUAACCAUUAACCUAAGAUUUAAUUUUUUUUGUACAUUAUUCCUAUCAUCUUGUAAAAAUGUUUGAGACCACGCCAUUUACACUGCACGAAGAAAGCUCAUACCCUAGCUUUCAAUCCGCCGGUGUUGAUGAUCAUGUAUCCUGACCAACCAACCAUUCAUUUAAUUAAUUCCCCAUAGUUUUUCUUUGCAAUCAUCUUAAAGACUCAAGGAAAUCUUAUUGAACAUAAAACAAUGGCGAGAUUUCAUAUUUUCCAAAUAGCUUAAGAUACAAGUUUCCUAUGGGUUUCUUGUAAAAGUGUAUUUUAUAUGUAACUGAAUCAAUUGAUGGAUGUCAAAAUCUAUUUCAGUUUCGAUUACGCGUCUAGGAAGAAAUGUAUAAAAGAUUUACAUAUUGACGAUAUUAUAAAAAAAAAGUGUAUCUUAUUGAUAAUACGAGUAAAAACGAGUACAAAUGCAGUAGGUAUCUAAGAACAAAAAAAAAGUAUUGCUCUAGGACAAUUCCCUCCUUUUCUUCUGUCUUUGGUUUUGUUUUUAUAGGUCAAGAGUCGCUCGGAACGGCCAUGUGAUCUCUGACGAGUAUCAUGUGCCUUUAUUCCUUUGAACUGUAUUACACUGUGGUUUGAUUGUGUUAGCUCUGCAUGAACCGUUUGUUGAGCUUGGCAUGGGCCUUAGAUUUUUGUGAGCCUGUUAUUUUGUAGUGAGUCUGGAGAAUUUUGACUCAGGCUCGGACCGGGUAUAAAGCAGGCUGAAUUUCACCUCUAACAUCAAUGAUAACAUGUUCUUUUCAAAAUGCGUCGGUAGCUGUAACUCUUUUUUUGUCAUUAAGGAUAAUAAAGUUCUGUCCCAGCCAAACGAUAAGGGAUAAACAACAUAGAGUAUCGAGCAGAACUAAAACCAACUCCAAUAGGAGAGAAAAAAAACAGAGCCUUAAAGAAAGGAAACCAAAGCACAGCUACCCAUCAGAACAUGGAACUCCUUAAGCUAAUGCUUCCUGGCGAAUCAGAGAUGCCAACCACACAGGACCGUGAAGAGCUACAUACGACUGAUGUUUAUGAUCUCUCGUAAUCAUAUUGGCUAAGUUGUUACAGGAGACCGGGACAAAAUUCAAACUGUCUUCCACAAUGGAAUGUAUCGUAUAUAGCGUAAAUUAAGGAACAGCUUUGAUAAUCGCCUAAGGACACAAGUGAAUGCUCCAUAGAUUUUUUGACUUCUGAAGACGAGAACUCCAUAAUUACAUUUUAAAGCUUGAGGUCGCACAUGGCUGCUGCAGCCCACUGUGCUACCAAGUUAGCUUGGGAGGAAGAUCCAGUUUGAGAAAAAGACCUUCUGUUGUGGAACAAAACCAACCUUUCUCAUCACGUACAAUACAAGCACCCCCUUCUAUUUUUGAACUCCCAUCCCAAGAUGAUCCCACAUUGCAUUUAACAAAGGAUGAAGGAGGUUUUUGCCACUUCCCAGGAAAAAAUGAAUGCUAACAACAAAGUUGGAUGAAGGAGGUUCCAAGUGAAGUCAGCCAUGGUUUGAUUGGUUUCUCUUUAUAAACAAUUUAUAUCUUACUUUCUCCCCUUUGUUUAGUUUUUUCUUCCUGAUUUUGAAUUUAUAUAACUAUUGUAAGAUCAUUUGGUGGGGUCACAUAUGUUAAGAAAUAAAUAUGAUAGGACCAUUAAUCAAUUAGCCUAUUUAAGUGGUCACUAUUGUGAAUAAGGUAAAUGCUUGGGCAUAAGUGCUAUGAAAUAUUUAUAUGUGGUACCUUAAGUAAUUUCUAGUUUUGUGAAGGGCUGAACUAAAAAUUAAUACUCUAUAUAAAGAGGGUUUUGGUCUCCAAGGAAACCCUAGCCGAAAAUACAUAAUUUCUCUAUAUCCCAUCAAUAGAGAACUAAAGUCACAUAGAGUUUGACUUGGAAGAUCCAUUCCCUAACUUCAGAUCCUAUAAGCAAUGGAUACAUCAGAAUUUUUGGAGGAACAAUUUUUCCAGAUCUGUUCUCAGAUCCGUUUUUUUGGGGUCUUGGCGGCUGAAAAAACCUGUUUGAGGUUAUCAUGAAAACCCUAGGUUGGAGAUAAAUCCGUGGUAGGCAUGUUUUGUUAUUUGGCCCAUAUCCAGUUUCUGAUUUAAUUAAUUAUUUUGGGCUUGCAAAUUUAAUUAUUUUAGCCUAAUUUCUUUUGUUUUAAAUCAGUUGGGCCAGUUUGGAACAAACUUUAAGUCAGGCCCGUCCAGCUUUUAAUUAAGUUAAAAAGCGCAUAAGGUUGGUUUCAAACAAAGGUCGUGUGUGAAGCUGGCGCCCACUGCCAUGUCUCGAACCAUUCUCCCGCUUCAGUAUUUUUGUAUAUAGAGCCCACAGACUUCUAGUUAUCUGUCUGCGCAAGAAUAAAAUUCAGUUUUAAAUCAACUAAUAAAUUUGAUAAUGCA
This is a long non-coding RNA of Brassica rapa (field mustard), 5586 nucleotides long. RefSeq lists it as uncharacterized. The record is from RefSeq and is a predicted model, not a curated record. NCBI's taxonomy places the organism in Eukaryota, Viridiplantae, Streptophyta, Magnoliopsida, Brassicales, Brassicaceae.